CCAAUGUGUGUGCACGUGUGUGUGUCUGCUCAUAAAAUGGUACUGAAAAGUAUGAGAGCAUAGGAAUGUGGCUUAGCAGAUAAUAACUCUUGAUUUCAUUGUUUCAAGUCUUGUGUUUUUAUUAAAAGUCAAGGAAAGUCCAGUUCACUGAAGAGAACAGAAGAGAAUGAACCAUUCCUGGGCUUUCUAGCAGUGUGGGAGAAGAUCCGCGCUACAGCUUUCUUCUGCUGGAGAGGUGCUGCAGCAAGAGAUGGAGAGGACAGAAAACUCUGUCUUGAGGAUUUGGCACAUACUGCCAGGAUCCCACCACCUAGAUGGGACCUAGCUCUCUGAGAACUGGUCACUUGAGGCUCACUAAGAGUCAGCAAAGUGUUUUGUAAGGUCACCAUAUGUCCCACUGCCAGGACAAAAAAUCGUAUACAGCUGUAAGGAGUUGGUUCACACAGAAUUAGAUGUGCUGAAGCUGCCACCUGAUGUUUCCUGAUGUUGCCACACUCGAGGCCUCUGUGUGACAUCUGUCUCUGAACAUUUCUGGUCACUGUUCUUAAAAAUGGGAUCAUUUAUAGGAUAUAAGGGAUAGACAGUCCUUCCAGAUUGAAGAGAUUGGACUGUGCUGAACAGAUUAGGGUCUGUUAGGAUGAAGCAGCCCUGCACAUCCAUUGAAGAGGUGAGCACUCAAAAGGGGAUUGCAGUGCUGGAAAUUCUACCCUGGAAAACAUAACUAUGGCCAUGAAUAACAUUUUCUUAUCUCUUCCUAUUGACAGAAAACCAGCCCAAGUAAAGUAAAUUUAUAGCAUAUCAGAUCCCUGCCAAGGGAAAAGUGUUGCCUAAAAUCAGCUCAAGCCUGCUCUUUCCACUGGGAAAAGGAGUUCCUAGAGAACUGCAGAUUUGGUGGGUGCUUUCUGCUUUUCAGGACAAAUGACAGUUCCAAAGAAAAGGAAAAAGUCUUGGAUUGGAAGUUUGGGUUUUGGUAAAGAUUCUGAAGUUUUGGUGAGAGCUGGAGGAAGUUUUAUGUUCUGACACAGCAGGACAGAAGCACAAGGAGCAAACAAGGACU
Long non-coding RNA from Poecile atricapillus (Black-capped chickadee), 1057 nucleotides. RefSeq lists it as uncharacterized. The record is from RefSeq and is a predicted model, not a curated record. The transcript is spliced from 4 exons. Lineage: Eukaryota; Metazoa; Chordata; Aves; Passeriformes; Paridae.